This 1236-nucleotide ribosomal RNA is filed under the name metagenome. RNAcentral's name for it is "bacterial LSU rRNA". It matches the Rfam family "Bacterial large subunit ribosomal RNA", at positions 1564 to 2810 of the family's 2925-position model. The record is from RNAcentral.
UGAAUACGAGACGCUAAGGCGUCGAAGUAGUGUAUGUCGUACUUCCAAGAAAAGCUUGCACUGUCAUAGAUAAAAAACGCCUGUACCAUAACCGACACAGGUGGGUAGGUAGAGUAUACUAAGGGGCGCGAGAUAACUCUCUCUAAGGAACUCGGCAAAAUAACUCCGUAACUUCGGGAGAAGGAGUGCCUUAUUCGUAAGGUUCAAUAACAAGAUCCAAGCAACUGUUUAUCAAAAACACAGGUCUCCGCUAAGUCGUAAGACGAUGAAUGGGGGCUGACGCCUGCCCAGUGCCAGAAGGUUAAAGAAGUUGGUUAGCAAUUGCGAAGCUGAUGACUGAAGCCCUGGUGAACGGCGGCCGUAACGAUAACGGUCCUAAGGUAGCGAAAUUCCUUGUCGGGUAAGUUCCGACCCGCACGAAAGGCGUAAUGAUUUGGAUACUGUCUCGGAGAGGGGCUCGGUGAAAUAGACUUGUCUGUGAAGAUGCGGACUACCUGCACCAGGACAGAAAGACCCUAUGAAGCUUUACUGUAACUUGAAAUUGAAAUUGGACUUUAUUCGCGCAGCAUAGGUGUGAGGCGUUGAUUAUAAUCUUGCGGGAUUAUUGGAGCCAUCAGUGAGAUACCACUCUUGUAAUGUUAGAUUUCUAACUUUGAAUCAUUAUCUGGUCAAAGAACAGUUUCAGGCGGGCAGUUUGACUGGGGCGGUCGCCUCCUAAACGGUAACGGAGGCGUACAAAGGUUUCCUCUGAACGGUUAGAAAUCGUAUCUAGAGUGUAAAGGCAUAAGGAAGCUUGACUGUGAGACCUACAAGUCGAGCAGGGACGAAAGUCGGUCUUAGUGAUCUGACGGUACUGAGUGGAAAGGCCGUCACUCAACGGAUAAAAGUUACUCUAAGGAUAACAGGCUGAUCUCCCCCAAGAGUUCACAUCGACGGGGAGGUUUGGCACCUCGAUGUCGGCUCAUCGCAUCCUGGGGCGGUAGUACGUCCCAAGGGUUGGGCUGUUCGCCCAUGAAAGCGGUACGCGAGCUGGGUUCAGAACGUCGUGAGACAGUUCGGUCCAUAUCCGGUGUAGGCGUUAGAAUAUUGAGAGGAGCCUUCUUUAGUACGAGAGGACCGAGAAGGACAUACCUCUGGUGUACCAGUUAUCGUGCCAACGGUAAACGCUGGGUAGCUAUGUAUGGAGUGGAUAACCGCUGAAAGCAUCUAAGUGGGAAGCCCACCUCAAGAUAAGUA